Molecule: non-coding RNA, 80 nt
Organism: Trichonephila inaurata madagascariensis
Lineage: Eukaryota; Metazoa; Arthropoda; Arachnida; Araneae; Nephilidae
Source: the annotation of a GenBank genome assembly
GUAGCGCAAUGGAUAGCGUUUUGGACUUCUAAUCCAAAGGUCGUGGGUUUGAUGGAUGUGAUUUCUUUUCUUACUGUGCU